Molecule: ribosomal RNA, 468 nt
Filed under: uncultured bacterium
Lineage: Bacteria
Description: partial 16S ribosomal RNA
Rfam family: Bacterial small subunit ribosomal RNA
Source: RNAcentral
GACGAACGCUGGCGGCGUGCUUAACACAUGCAAGUCGAACGGACAGGCCCUGCUUUUGCUCGUUGCUCGAGUGGCGCACGCGUGAGUAACACGUGAGUAUCCUGCCCCUGUCUUUCUGAUAACUUCAGGAAACUCGGGCUCAUACCGCAUAUGAGCUCCUGCUCCAUGUUGGUGGAUGGAGAAUUUCGGCGGUUGGGUCUGUACUCGCGGCUUAUCAGCUGGUUUGUGUGGUAGUGGCUUACCGAGGCUUUGACGGGUAGCCGGCCUGAGCGGCGGACCGGGCACAUGGGGACUGAGAUACGGCGCAGACUCGUAUGGGAGGCAGCAGGGGGGAAUAUGGCACAAUGGGCGGGAGCCUGAUGCAGCAACGCCGGGUGCGGGAUGACGGCCUUCGGGUUGAAAACCGAUUUGGCAGGUGACGAAGCGCGAGUGACGGUAAUGGGUAAAGAAGCAACGGCUAACUACGUG